UCGGUGACGCGUUCCCCGCCAGUUCUCACAGCUCGCCGUCGGAUGCCUCACUAAAAUUUAAAUUUUCUGAACUUUCAUUACUAGUUUUUGCUCAAAUGGCGUGUAAUCGGCUGUGUUACUUCUGCCCUUUCCAUUUUGAUUGUUAGCGACUUGUAUGCUUUGGAUUUGUUGUGUAUUGGCAUUCUGAGUAGAUUCUCGAUAUCUUCGAAUCCAUUUGGGCAUAUAUGAUAUAGAGGCAACCUAUUUAAUUCCUCUGAGAACGUGAGAUUUUGAACAUUGGCCAGCUUCGAUACGGAUUGAAUGAUUAGCCAAGGCGACUAUAACCGUAACAGUGCUUCUGAUCAAGAGAGAGAACACAGACCUGCUGCUUGUUGGAGACCUUUUGGCAGUACACUGCGGCGUUAUAAUUAACGAGGGCAUGGGGUCUAAAUAUAUUUGGUGAAUAUCUUUGCUUGAGAAUGGCCAAAUUUUCAAUCAGCAAUACCAAUUAUACUUACUUGCAUGACCAGAAUGAUCCUUCUGAGGCAAUUGACGUACACCAUAUAAUGGUUAAAAGGAGUGGCGCAAAAGCUCUCUUUGUUUACAUCUCAGCGCUUGUUCUAUUAGCAUCUGCCUUCUAUUUCUACGCUUAUGGGGGGAAGUCGAUUAUCCUUGUCUGUUACAGCUUGCUUUUCAACUUAAUAUUUGUCAAGAUCUUACUUUGGAGGCCUGUUGUGAAAGAGUCUGUUGUGAUAAUGCCAGCUUUUGGAGUACAGAUUGAGACUCACUACAUGAGUGGAAAAGUCACCCGCCACUUUGUUCCCAUUGACAAGAUUCUGAAACCUGUUUUACUGGAAUGUGUGACACCAAUAACAUGUUACUGGACUCUAUCCUUGAUUGUUCGCGAGGAACAAGAACUAAUGUUGAUUUUUAAGAACUUGCGUCCACCGGUGAAAAUGUUGGUCCAUGUCUGGAAGGCCUUGUGUGCUGGGACUGAUAGCAAAAGAGGCUUGGACAAAAGUGCUGUUGAGAGUUAACUUGUUUAUGAUGAUACUGGUUUUAGAUUCUUGAAAUAUCUCAUAUUAACAUUUUGAGAUGUAUAUACACAUUCAAGGCCAUACUAAUUGUUUGCGAGAAGACAUUUGCUUUCCACAUCUGAAGCUUUGCGUCAAUCUUUUCAAUCAUUUGUUUGCUCCUUCCAACAUCUGCCCCUAUUCUAAGAAUUGAAGACUGCUUUCAAGCAGUUUAAUUCAUUCAUUUAAAUCCCCUAUCAGAAGCCAUUGUCCAGAGAACAAGCUGUUUCAUAUGAUUUCUUGUUGACCACUUGGUCGCUUUGAAGGAAUCCGUAAAUAAAAAUUAUGAAGAAAAGAUAUGACAAGACAUCUUGACAUUUCACUUCCAUCCAUUUUCUUGAUCUGUCAAGAAUUUCAUAAUUUCAUUCAUCCUUCCAAGCCAUACUGAGAUCAUCUUCAUGAAUCAAGAGUGUUUAACUUCUCUUUUGUUGCCAACGUUGAAAGUCUAGUUUCAUAGAGGAAAAUCAAACUAGCAACUGUUUUUUAGAUGAAGCGCCAAUGUCUCUCCUAAUCCUCAGCAGUUCCUAGUUGAAACCAUUUUAUGGUACGUGGGAAAACUUGGGUACUGAGAUCCAUGACCAUGUCUUCAAUAAUGCUAGCUAGAGUGGUUUCUAGUAAAGCAUAUAUUGUUCGAAGGGGUGGGAUAUAGAGAAUCAUUACUUUUGUGGCUUUUGGUUGGAAUAGACAUUGAAACCUAUGCCACUAUUUGAAAACUGGGGAUAGGUCUGAGUUGUCUUAUGCUUCCAAGCACUCUUAGGAACUGGGCCAUUCACAAAAGGGUAAAAAGGUCUCUAACAGUGUUUUGCAGGAAAUUAGAAUCCUAUUGAACAAAGUGGAUACCAUGGAUAUUUAUGACCAGUAUUUAGCAGUAGAGAGGAAAGGCUUGUGGAGGAGGAGAGUGAUGCAGUCAUGGUGGUCCGUUUGGAUCAAGGAGUUUGGAACUAUGAGGGAGAAGACGCGUCUUGAUUGGUGCCUUGUAAUUGUAUAAUAAGGUUAUUUGUACGAAUCUUUUGUAAGUGGUGGCACAAUUCAAUAUUCAAAGCAGCUUUGAGGAAA
Neltuma alba is the source of this 2108-nucleotide RNA transcript. RefSeq lists it as uncharacterized. NCBI's taxonomy places the organism in Eukaryota, Viridiplantae, Streptophyta, Magnoliopsida, Fabales, Fabaceae. The transcript is spliced from 7 exons. The record is from RefSeq and is a predicted model, not a curated record.